UAGCAGCUGUUUGCAUUUCCAUUGCCUUGGAAGUUCAUCACAAAGGUGUUCACAGAAUGAAAAUAUUACAUUAAUUAUUCUAACACUUGGUGGUUGCAUGUGUUUUAGCAUGCCAGACUUCAGUGAACCAGACUGCAACCACUUGGAAGUGGAACAUCCUCCAAGUCAUACAGAGAAGCAGCUGUCCAUGAUGAAGCAGAAAGCCUGGUAUGUUGUGGUCUAAACAGUCUUCCUGGGACUCCAUGGGUGUCAUGCUGCUGGCAAUUCUGCCAGGGAACAUCAAUUGGCUCAGCCUCCAGCUGAUACCGUGGUAGCUUGGAAAUACCCCCUGGAAGCUCUUAUCAUCUUUGUGCCAGAUGUUUCACAGAAACUAAGCAGCUCGUGGAACUUCAGUGAGAAAGAGAAGGAGCUUCUGGUAUGUUCUGUUAAAGCAGAAUAGUAAAUAUCUCCUUCAAUACACAAUGUA
Sturnus vulgaris (Common starling) is the source of this 466-nucleotide non-coding RNA. NCBI's taxonomy places the organism in Eukaryota, Metazoa, Chordata, Aves, Passeriformes, Sturnidae. The record is from RefSeq and is a predicted model, not a curated record.